AAUAAUCUGGUAGGUGAGGCUCCUACAGGGAUAAGGACUGCUGCCGCGAAAUGAUGGAGACAUCAUGAGUUGGUUUGAACAGGUUAUAUCGUCAAGGUAUAGCAUAAUGCAGUUUCAUCGCCCUGCAAAGCUAAAGCUUGAACGGU
This 146-nucleotide small RNA is filed under the name uncultured Beduini sp. RNAcentral's name for it is "M-box riboswitch (ykoK leader)". It matches the Rfam family "M-box riboswitch aptamer (ykoK leader)", at positions 11 to 156 of the family's 169-position model. From Rfam's summary of the family: M-box riboswitch, also know as ykoK leader is described as a metaloregulatory RNA that sense divalent metals and function as a genetic control element of genes related to divalent metal transport in bacteria. The record is from RNAcentral. Lineage: Bacteria; Bacillati; Bacillota; Erysipelotrichia; Erysipelotrichales; Erysipelotrichaceae.